AAAGCCUGCCAGCUUUGCAGCUAGGGAGCCUCUCGUAGACAAUCCUUCUGCAAUAUUUCGUGUCAUCACCUCAUGCCUGGUGUGGCGACUGGAGCCAUCUGCAGCUAUCUGGCUACCUAAGCGGGCAUUACGAGGUCUUUCCUCUGGUCCUGAGAGAAUGAAUGCUGCGUGUUUCACUGACUUCAGCCAGAUCACUCAUGCCAAAAAGAAACACUCAGCUGACGCCCUUUGAGUUAGGCCAUGUAAGGAUGGCCCAAGGAUGGGAAACCUUAAAUGCCAUUUCCUUUCUGUUGCAUCAGCAUGAGGAUGUGUCUCCAUGAAAGGUCUACAGGGAGCUGAGCACCUUUUAUUAAGGUCCCCAGUAAGGUGGUGUUAUUGUGCCUGGAAAUAACCAGCUGGAUAGAGCUGCUGCUUUCCAAGGAGUUUCUGCGGGUAUUUUUUCAGCUUCCACAGAAGUACUUGUUGGGAGACAAUUUCAGCUCCCACAGAUGUUCACAUCAGGAGACAAAAUAAAGGGAGAUUUCAGAUUUUUCCUUCCA
This 539-nucleotide long non-coding RNA is filed under the name Anser brachyrhynchus (Pink-footed goose). Its description in RNAcentral is "lncRNA (ENSABRG00000011262.1)". Lineage: Eukaryota; Metazoa; Chordata; Aves; Anseriformes; Anatidae. The record is from RNAcentral.